GAUAGAGAGAGAAAAAUAAUAAUGUAUAGUUCAUCUGCCAUACUUGCCACCUUAAAUAUCAAAAUUAGCCUUACUGCCGCGCCUCUUCAUUAGAAUUAAGACCCGAAGCCCUUUGAGGUUGGGAGCGCGGAGUUCUUGCUGCCCGAGUUGGUGUGAUUGUACGUGGAGUUAUGUGCUUGGCUUCCACUCCUCUUCGGUAGGGAAGAGGGGAGAAUACUGCGGGAGAAGAGAGCCGAUCUCACUCCGAGGCUGCGGUGACGCCGCCGGGAUUCCUGCCGAUGUACCACCGAGCAGGUUGCUAUAAAUCUCUCCUUGGAUCAGGAGUGCAGAAUCACAAUGGCAAUGGCUACCUGAGAUGAAUCCUGGUGGAUGAGGGUCGAGCUGCUGGAGAGAGACUGUCUCAGACUUGCUGCUUCUUACCCCUGAGUUCCCCCCCCCCAGUGAUCUAAACAAGCUUUGUUGGUAUGAAAGGAAGGGGGUGGGCAAUGGGAGAGUAGCUUGGGGAGAGGGGGUGAUGGAAU
Mobula hypostoma (lesser devil ray) is the source of this 521-nucleotide long non-coding RNA. RefSeq lists it as uncharacterized. The transcript is spliced from 3 exons. NCBI's taxonomy places the organism in Eukaryota, Metazoa, Chordata, Chondrichthyes, Myliobatiformes, Myliobatidae. The record is from RefSeq and is a predicted model, not a curated record.